This 370-nucleotide unclassified non-coding RNA is filed under the name uncultured Leptosphaeria. Its description in RNAcentral is "sequence contains ITS2". The stretch from base 1 to 154 matches the Rfam family "5.8S ribosomal RNA". The record is from RNAcentral. Lineage: Eukaryota; Fungi; Ascomycota; Dothideomycetes; Pleosporales; Leptosphaeriaceae.
AACUUUUAGCAAUGGAUCCCUUGGUUCUGGCAUCGAUGAAGAACGCAGCGAAAUGCGAUAAGUAGUGUGAAUUGCAGAAUUCAGUGAAUCAUCGAAUCUUUGAACGCACAUUGCGCCCCUUGGUAUUCCAUGGGGCAUGCCUGUUCGAGCGUCAUUUGUACCCUCAAGCUCUGCUUGGUGUUGGGUGUUUGUCCCGCUUUUCGCGUGGACUCGCCUUAAAACAAUUGGCAGCCGGCAUAUUGGCCUGGAGCGCAGCACAUUUUGCGCCUCUUGUCAUGAUUGUUGGCAUCCAUCAAGACUAUUUUUUACUCUUGACCUCGGAUCAGGUAGGGAUACCCGCUGAACUUAAGCAUAUCAAUAAGCGGAGGCU